Molecule: transfer RNA, 71 nt
Filed under: Marmota monax (woodchuck)
Lineage: Eukaryota; Metazoa; Chordata; Mammalia; Rodentia; Sciuridae
Description: tRNA.Ala
Source: RNAcentral
GUGGUUGUGGCUCAGUGAUAGAGUGGUCACCUAGCAUGUGUGAGGCACUGGGUUUGAUCCUCAGCAUCACA